Long non-coding RNA from Balaenoptera acutorostrata (minke whale), 194 nucleotides. RefSeq lists it as uncharacterized. The transcript is spliced from 3 exons. The record is from RefSeq and is a predicted model, not a curated record. Lineage: Eukaryota; Metazoa; Chordata; Mammalia; Artiodactyla; Balaenopteridae.
UCUAAAUUAGAGAAAGGAGAUAAAAAUAACCUCUGGAUAUUCCUCUCGUGUGGUAUUUAUUCUGGAUGAAGCAUUAAGAUCUCUACUAGAGGUGUAUCACUGCAGUUUGCUGUCAGAAGUGUGCUUUGCUUCGAAAAGGCAGUAACUUCAAGCUCUUGUGGUGGAUACAGAUUCUUGCUGCAAGGAAAUAACAG